RNAcentral lists this ribosomal RNA (396 nucleotides) under uncultured bacterium. Its description in RNAcentral is "bacterial SSU rRNA". It matches the Rfam family "Bacterial small subunit ribosomal RNA", at positions 30 to 429 of the family's 1533-position model. The record is from RNAcentral.
AUUGAACGCUGGCGGCAUGCCUUACACAUGCAAGUCGAACGGCAGCACGGGGCAACCUGGUGGCGAGUGGCGAACGGGUGAGUAAUGCAUCGGAACGUGCCAUUGAGUGGGGGAUAACGUAGCGAAAGUUGCGCUAAUACCGCAUAUUCUGUGAGCAGGAAAGCAGGGGACCGCAAGGCCUUGCGCUCUUUGAGCGGCCGAUGUCAGAUUAGCUAGUUGGUGAGGUAACGGCUUACCAAGGCGACGAUCUGUAGCGGGUCUGAGAGGAUGAUCCGCCACACUGGAACUGAGACACGGUCCAGACUCCUACGGGAGGCAGCAGUGGGGAAUUUUGGACAAUGGGCGCAAGCCUGAUCCAGCCAUGCCGCGUGAGUGAAGAAGGCCUCGGUUGGUUAA